UUAACUAUUUUUUAUUUUUUUAAAUAACAAAAAAAAAAAAAAAAAAUGUCAGAGAGAGACAGGCCUCAAAGCCGCAACCUUGAGAUUACCAUUAUGUCACUAUCAUAUCUCUUCAGAAUUGCACCAGCUUAUUUUAUGGGACAUGUCCAGCGACAAAAGCCGUAUCCAGCAAAUUGAAUAUUUUGGAUGAUAGACAUGUACAGUUUAGAUCACAUGUGCACAGGAAAAUCAACACAUGACAUUGAAACUCAAAAUGAGAUAGUUGAUUCUGAUUGGAUCUCAUUAUGUACAGUCCUGUCCAAAAAGUUUAAAUCAGGUUACCAGAAAAGGUUCAGCUAUCUAACAAUAUGCACAAAUACCAGCACUAAUCAUUUCAAAAGCGGAGCAAUGCUGCUGUAAUUUGGACAGGCACCAUUCCACAGUUUCCAUAGCUACAGGGAGGGAAGGUAAUUGGGGAACUGAAAAUUUGAAAUUGAGAAAAGUAUUACGAUUACAGUGUAAUCGUAAUACUUUUCAGUGUUUAUUAUUCAAUUAUACUUUACACAAUAUAUAAAAAACAUAACUAGAUAUCGAAAAAUAUAACAAGUGUCACAAAUAUUAAGCGAU
RNAcentral lists this long non-coding RNA (606 nucleotides) under Androctonus crassicauda. The record is from RNAcentral. Lineage: Eukaryota; Metazoa; Arthropoda; Arachnida; Scorpiones; Buthidae.